ACAAAGAGAAGCGAAGCGGUGACGUGGAGCAAACCUCAGAAAGCCAAUCUCAGUUCGGAUUGUAGGCUGCAACUCGCCUACAUGAAGUUGGAAUCGCUAGUAAUCGCGAAUCAGAAUGUCGCGGUGAAUACGUUCCCGGGUCUUGUACACACCGCCCGUCACACCAUGGGAGUCGGAAAUGCCCGAAGUCAGUGACCUAACCGAAAGGGAGGAGCUGCCGAAGGUGGAGCCGGUAACUGGGGUGAAGUCGUAACAAGGUAUC
Molecule: ribosomal RNA, 262 nt
Filed under: uncultured bacterium
Lineage: Bacteria
Description: partial 16S ribosomal RNA
Rfam family: Bacterial small subunit ribosomal RNA
Source: RNAcentral